This is a long non-coding RNA of Astatotilapia calliptera (eastern happy), 1082 nucleotides long. The record is from Ensembl. Lineage: Eukaryota; Metazoa; Chordata; Actinopteri; Cichliformes; Cichlidae.
CAUGGACAGCUUCGGUUUUUCUGUUCAUUAACUCUGAGAGGACCUCUGAGUGCCUUGCCUAUCCAUUCAGAAAACAGGACUGAACACAGUUUAUGGCGAGUGAUGCAUGCUGCAAACGGUGCGUGCGUGUAGUGUGAGCGAGAGCCAUCGGUGUAUGCGUGUGCUUGUGUUGCGUGUGUGUUUGACUGUAUGAGUGUGUGUGCUUGAAUGUGUGUUGAGAGAGCGAGAGAGAGCAAGAGCGAACGAGAGAGAGAGAGAGAGAGAGAGAGAGAGACGGAUAGACCGAGCCUCUAACACGGAGCAUGCCUCUGCGUCCGGCAGCCGGCAAACAUGAGCCACCGAGCCCUCCACGGCAGGACCAGCAGCAGCACACACACACACACUCACACACAAUCACACACCCUCACACACACGCAGCAAACGGCAGCCAGGGGGCCAGCACUGACAGCAGCAGCUCCCGGGAAGAGGACAGUGGCGUUCCCGUUCCUCACGGUGUUCCGGCUUUCCGUCCCAGUGCAGAGCGUAGCAACAGUGCAAGAGCACCCAUGGAGGAGCCAACAGGCAACACGGUGGUCAUCCGCAUUGGAAUCCCAGACUUGCAGCAGACGGUCCUGCACUCUCAAAGACUGAAUGAACCAGCAUUGCAGCCAUGGGUCACUGUGAGCAUCACAGGAAAGGUUGAAGCCGCGCACUGCACCUGUAUGGCCGGAGUCGCAGAGACCUGCAGCCAUGUCGCUGCUCUUCUGUUUAAUGUAGAAGCAACAGUGUUGAUCUGUGGCACAAGGACUGUUACAGAUGAACCUGCAUACUGGGUUUUGCUGGGUAAUAUGACCAAGAUACAGCCAGAGGUUGGCCAUAAGAUAGACUUCUCCUCUUCAGCUGCCCAAAAAAAGGCUCUCAAUCAAAACAUAAUAAUAAUAAUAAUAAUGGAUUGGAUUUAUAUAGCGCUUUUCAAGGCACCCAAAGCGCUUUACAAUACCACUAUUCAUUCACUCUCACAUUCAUACACUGGUGGAAGCAAGCUACAGUUGUAGCCACAGCUGCCCUGGGGCAGACUGACAGAAGCGAGGCUGCCAUAUCGC